RNAcentral lists this ribosomal RNA (446 nucleotides) under uncultured cyanobacterium. RNAcentral's name for it is "bacterial SSU rRNA". It matches the Rfam family "Bacterial small subunit ribosomal RNA", at positions 1003 to 1450 of the family's 1533-position model. Lineage: Bacteria; Bacillati; Cyanobacteriota. The record is from RNAcentral.
GAAACGGGGGAGUGCCUUCGGGAGCGCAGAGACAGUUGGUGCAUGCCUGUCGUCAGCUCGUGUCGUGAGAUGUUGGGUUAAGUCCCGCAACGAGCGCAACCCACGUCUUUAGUUGCCAGCAUUCAGUUGGGCACUCUAGAGAGACCGCCGGUGAUAAACCGGAGGAAGGUGUGGAUGACGUCAAGUCAUCAUGCCCCUUACAUCCUGGGCUACACACGUACUACAAUGCUACGGACAAAGGGCAGCAAACUCGCGAGAGCUAGCAAAUCCCAUAAACCGUGGCUCAGUUCAGAUCGUAGGCUGCAACUCGCCUACGUGAAGGAGGAAUCGCUAGUAAUCGCAGGUCAGCAUACUGCGGUGAAUACGUUCCCGGGCAUUGUACACACCGCCCGUCACACCAUGGAAGUUGGCCACGCCCGAAGCCGUUACUCCAACCUUGUGGAGGA